AAUAAUAUUGAAAUUAUAAUUAAAGCUAAUAUUUUACUCACAGACUUGAACCAAGGUUAUUGCGGCUGCUGGGUGGAGGAGGAAGGCUGUCCUAACUCACCUGACAAUUUCAUUACAAUUAUUUAAUACCAUUGACUCAAUACAAGCUUAAAAAAGGAUCAAAGACACCCUAAGUCGUGCUGAAAAUCCGGCAGAGUCUUCCUUAUACCUAGGACCUACCCAACCUGCAAAAGGGCUCAAAAUACACUUUUAUAUCUACAAGUCAUACAACCACAACUCAAUCACAUCACAUGGUCCAUCCUGGGUCCAUCCAAACAGUCAACCACCAAUAUUUGAAAAAUUACCAUUUAGUCCCUAUAACUAACCCUUUUGCAAAAACUACCCAAUAUCAUUAAGCUAAUGCAAAAGGAAUUA
Molecule: unclassified non-coding RNA, 414 nt
Filed under: Hevea brasiliensis (rubber tree)
Lineage: Eukaryota; Viridiplantae; Streptophyta; Magnoliopsida; Malpighiales; Euphorbiaceae
Source: RNAcentral